RNAcentral lists this unclassified non-coding RNA (429 nucleotides) under soil metagenome. RNAcentral describes it as "partial contains 5.8S ribosomal RNA, internal transcribed spacer 2, and large subunit ribosomal RNA". The stretch from base 1 to 120 matches the Rfam family "5.8S ribosomal RNA", at positions 35 to 154 of the family's 154-position model. The record is from RNAcentral.
GAUGAAGAACGUAGCGAAAUGCGAUACGUAAUGUGAAUUGCAGAAUUCAGUGAAUCAUCGAAUCUUUGAACGCAUAUUGCGCUCUCUGGUAUUCCGGAGAGCAUGCUUGUUUGAGUAUCAGUAAACACCUCAACUCCCUUUUCUUUUUUGAAAUUGGAGCUGGACUUGAGUGAUCCCAACGCUUUCUUCCAAGAAAGUGGCGGGUUGCUUGAAAUGCAGGUGCAGCUGAACUUUUCUCUGAGCUAUACGCAUAUCUAUUUAGUCUGCCUAAAAAACAGAUUAUUACCUUUGCUGCAGCUAACAUAAAGGAGACUAGUUCUUGUGCUGACUGAUGCAGGAUUCACAGAGACAGCUUCGGCUGACUUUGUAAACUCGAUCUCAAAUCAAGUAAGACUACCCGCUGAACUUAAGCAUAUCAAUAAGCGGAGG